GUCAUUGUCAUUGUCACCGUGUCAUUGUCACCAUGUCACCGUCACCGUCACCGUGUCAUCGUCAUCGUGUCAUUGUCACUGUGUCACCGUCAUCAUGUCAUUGUCAUCGUCAUCGUCAUUCUCAUUGUGUCAUCGUCAUUGUCACCAUGUCAUUGUCAUCGUCAUUGUGUCGUCAUCGUCAUCACGUCAUCGUCAUUGUCACCGUGUCAUUGUCAUUGUCAUCGUCAUCGUCAUUGUGUCACCGGCAUUGUCACCGCAUCGUCAUUGCCAUCAUCAUCAUCAUUGUGUCAUUGUCAUUGUCACCGUGUCCUUGUCACCGUGUCAUUGUCAUUGUCAUUGUCAUCGCGUCAUCGUCAUUGUCACCGUGUCAUUGUCAUUGUCAAUUGUCAUUGUCACCAUGUCAUUGUCAUUGUCACCGUGUCAUUGUCAUUGUUGUUGCAUCAUUGUCAACGUGUCAUCAUCGUCACCGUGUCAUUGUCAUUGUCAUCAUGUCAUUGCCAUUGUCACCGUCAUUGUCAUUGUGUCAUCAUCGUCACCGUGUCAUUGUCAUUGUCAUUGCAUCAUUGUCACCGUGUCAUUGUCAUCGUCAUCGCGUCAUUGUCAUUGUCACCAUGUCAUUGUCACCGUGUCAUUGUCAUUGUCAUUGUCACUGUGUCAUCGUCAUUGUCAUCGCGUCAUUGUCAUUGUCACCGCCAUUGUCAUUGUGUCAUUGUCAUUGUCACCGUGUCAUUGUCACCACGUUAUUGUCAUCGUGUCAUUGCCAUUGCCGUCGCAUUAUUGUCAUUGUCACCGUGUCAUCGUCAUUGUCACUGUCAUCGUCGUUGUCACCAUGUCACCGGCAUCGUCAUCGUAUCACCGUCAUUGUCAUCAUCAUCGCAUCAUUGUCAUUGUCACCAUGUCAUUGUCAUUGUCAUCACGUCAUUGUCAUUGUCGUCACUGUCACCGUGUCAUUGUCACCGUGUCAUUGUCAUCGUCAUCGUCAUUGUCAUUGUCACCGUGUCAUCAGUGUCACCGUGUCAUUGUCAUUGUCGUCACAUCAUUGUCAUUGUCACCGUCAUUGUCACCGUGUCAUUGUCGUUGUCAUUAUCAUCACUUCAUUGUCAUUGUCACUGUCACUGUCACCAUGUCAUUGUCACCAUGUCAUUGUCACUGUCAUUGGCACCGUGUCAUCAUCAUUGUCACUGUGUCAUUGUCACCGCCAUUGUUACCAUGUCAUCGUCAUUGUCACCGUGUCAUUGUCGUUGUCAUUGUCACCACGUCAUUGUCAUUGUCACCGUCAUUGUCACCGUGUCAUUGUCACCGUCACCGCGUCAAAGUCACCACGAUGUCCCCACCCCUCGGGUCCCCUCUGUGUCCCCAACACCCCCGACGUCCCCGACGUCCCUCAAUGUCCCCAAGACCCCCCAUGUCCUAUGUCCCCAAUGUCCCCAAUGUCCCCAAUGUCCCCAUCCCCAACAUCCUCGAUGUCCCCAACGUCCCCAACGCCCCCCACGUCCCCGAUGUCCCCAAUGUCCCCGAUGUCCCCAA
RNAcentral lists this long non-coding RNA (1527 nucleotides) under Anser cygnoides (Swan goose). RNAcentral describes it as "lncRNA (ENSACDG00005006786.1)". The record is from RNAcentral. Lineage: Eukaryota; Metazoa; Chordata; Aves; Anseriformes; Anatidae.